CACAAUGAGGGACGUCUGCAGUGACUGAGAAAGAGUCUCACCACAUCCUGACAUGAGGAAAAAGACUUUAUUGAAGACUACAAUGAGAAAAACUAUCAGACAGCAGACGGCUGCAUUCAAGUCUGUAGCUGCUGAAUUCAUGGAUGAAUCAUCUGGCACUAGAGAGGAAGACCAUCAAACAUCCACGUCAGCUGAUGGAGGUCCAAGAGUCUCACCCAACAAACAACCUAGAGUGAAGACCUCAAAUCUGAUUGGACGGCCUCCUAUUCAGCCACAUAUAAGACAAGUACAAGAUUGUUCAGAGCCGUUCUACCACGAUCCUGACAGGAAGAACUCCAACAGCUACUGAA
This is a long non-coding RNA of Amphiprion ocellaris (clown anemonefish), 350 nucleotides long. The record is from Ensembl. Lineage: Eukaryota; Metazoa; Chordata; Actinopteri; Pomacentridae.